UGCAUGAAGCCGGAAUUGCUAGUAAUCGCGGAUCAGCAUGCCGCGGUGAAUACGUUCCCGGGCCUUGUACACACCGCCCGUCACACCAUGGGAGCCGGUAAUACCCGAAGUCAGUAGUCCAACCUCGUGAGGACGCUGCCGAAGGUAGGAUUGGCGACUGGGGUGAAGUCGUAACAAGGUAAC
RNAcentral lists this ribosomal RNA (183 nucleotides) under uncultured bacterium. RNAcentral describes it as "partial 16S ribosomal RNA". It matches the Rfam family "Bacterial small subunit ribosomal RNA", at positions 1317 to 1500 of the family's 1533-position model. The record is from RNAcentral.